GGGGAAAAAUUAAUAAUUUAGAUUUAAUAGAAGAAUUUUUAAAGAGAAAAUAUUUAAUGGGGGUUAAAGUAUUUUUUAUAGAAAAAAUUAUAAUAUUUAUAGUGAAUUAGUAUUGUAUAAGAAUUAUGAAAUAUUUGAAAAUAAAUUUAUUUAAUAGUAAAUUUAAUUUAUUGUAUCUUGUGUAUCAGAGUUUAUUAAUAAAAAAUUUUUUGAAAAAAAUUUCUCGAAUUUGAAAGAGUUAAUUAGUUAAAAAAGUUAAUGUAGCAUAAUUAUUUUAAAUAAUUAAUUGGAAAUGAAAUGUUAAUCGUUUUUAAAUAUAUCUAGUUUUUUUAGAAAAAAAUUUAAUUUUGAAUAUUAAAGUUAAAAAUUUUUAUUAGGGAAAAUUUUGUUAAUUAAUGUUUAAUAUUUUAAGGGAUAAGCUUUAAAAUAAAUUUUUAUAAUAUUAUUUCAAUUUAAUUAAAAAUUUUAGAAUUUAUAUUGUUAAUAAAUUAUAAUUUUUUAUAAAUAAUUUAAUUUAAAGUUAAAAUUUAAUUUAAUAUUUAAUUUUUUAUGAAAAAAUAUUUUUAAAUAAUAUAGAAUUAGUUAUAAUGAUAAAAUUAGUAUAUUUAAGAAAAGUUUUCAUAAAAAAAAAUGAAAAUUUAAAAAAAGGAAUUCGGCAAAAAUUUAUAUUCACUUGUUUAUCAAAAACAUGUCUUUUUGAAAAUAAUAUAAAGUCUAAUCUGCCCACUGAUAAAAUUAAAGGGCUGCAGUAUUUUGACUGUACAAAGGUAGCAUAAUCAAUAGUCUCUUAAUUGGUGACUUGUAUGAAAGAUUGGAUGAAAUAUAAGCUGUCUUUAUUUAAAUAUUAAAAAUUAAUUUUUUAGUUAAAAAGCUAAGAUAUUUUUAAAAGACGAGAAGACCCUAUAGAGUUUUAUAAUUUAAUUUAAUUUUAAUAUUUUAUGUUUUUUUUUAUUAAAAUAAAGGGAAUUAUUUUGUUGGGGUGAUAGAAAAAUUUAAAAAACUUUUUUUUUGAUGUUAACAUUAAUAUAUGAUUAAAUGAUCCAUAAAUAAUGAUUAUAAGAAAAAAUUACCUUAGGGAUAACAGCGUAAUUUUUUUUUUUAGUUCAAAUAAGAAAAAAAGUUUGCGACCUCGAUGUUGGAUUAAGAUAAAAUUUAAAUGCAAAAGUUUAAAAUUUUUGAUCUGUUCGAUCAUUAAAAUCUUACAUGAUCUGAGUUCAAACCGGUGUGAGCCAGGUUGGUUUCUAUCUUUAGAUAAUAAUUAAUAUUUUAGUACGAAAGGAUCAAAUAUUAGAAAUAAUUUUAUUAUUAUGAAUUUUAUUAAUUUAUGAAUAAAUAU
RNAcentral lists this ribosomal RNA (1336 nucleotides) under Teinopalpus imperialis. RNAcentral describes it as "16S ribosomal RNA". The record is from RNAcentral. Lineage: Eukaryota; Metazoa; Arthropoda; Insecta; Lepidoptera; Papilionidae.